GCGCGAAAAACUUCACACUGCAGGCAACUGUGAUGAGGGAACUCCAAGUGACUGCACAAUGUGUAGCCUUUUCUUGACUGUUAACAAGUCUUGGAAUAAGGGCUGGGAAAGACCGGUGCCAGCCGCCGCGGUAAUACCGGCAGCUCAAGUGGUCGUCGUUUUUAUUGGGCCUAAAAACGUCCGUAGCCUGUUCAGUAAACCCGUGGGUAAAUCAACCAGCUUAACUGGUUGAAUUCUGCGGAGACUGCUGGACUAGGGACCGGGAGAGGUAUGAGGUACUCUCAGGGUAGGGGUAAAAUCCUGUCAUCCUGAGAGGACCACCUGUUGCGAAGGCGUCAUACUGGAACGGAUCCGACGGUCAGGGACGAAGCCUAGGGGCACGAGCCGGAUUAGAUACCCGGGUAGUCCUAGGUGUAAACGCUGUGGAC
RNAcentral lists this ribosomal RNA (428 nucleotides) under uncultured Nitrososphaerota archaeon. RNAcentral's name for it is "bacterial SSU rRNA". It matches the Rfam family "Archaeal small subunit ribosomal RNA", at positions 339 to 767 of the family's 1478-position model. The record is from RNAcentral. Lineage: Archaea; Thermoproteati; Nitrososphaerota.